CAUGCAUUUGCUUCACACACAGCAAGGGAAAGAGAUAACCUGCUGGUCGCGACUGGCGCGCGUUUACAGUUACAGCCUUGAAACAAUGCAAGACAGCGACAACGGCGGGAAUGACGACCACCCAUUGAGGAGCCACUCGACCAGUUUCGUUCUCCUUGUUGUUGUUGUUGUUUGGUUUGCUUGUUGUUGGUACAGUUUUAGGCCACGUUUACACGAAAUUAAGUUGAGUAAUUAAGUUGGCCUGCUUGGGCAUAUUUCAUGGCCUGCUUCUGGGCGUCCCACUAAAACGUUGACUCUAAAUUAUGCAUGCACAGGCCUGUCACGUGGUUGAAGCUGCUACUAAGCGACGUUAGUCAACGUCGACGACGGCGUCGACGCCACAUGCUAACAUUUUGACAGCUGCGCGGCCGCGGCGGUUGAUUCCGAUUCAAAGUCCGAGUGCGAGCCGGAUUUUGAGUUGGAGUUUAAGUUUGAGUGAGUUUUGAUUUACUUUUACUGCAACGAACUUCCGCUGAUUAUUUUCUCAGCACGUUCUAGUCGAUUUGUUAUGAUUUCUUUGGUUGUUUUCGUUUGUGGGUUAUACAAAUUGAAUUUAUUUGGCUACGCGCCACAGAGCACCGGAGCACCAGCAGAGCACAUUGCACCCACACAAAAAUCUCGCUCACACAGCUCUCUGCCACGC
RNAcentral lists this long non-coding RNA (682 nucleotides) under Drosophila guanche. Lineage: Eukaryota; Metazoa; Arthropoda; Insecta; Diptera; Drosophilidae. The record is from RNAcentral.